This 672-nucleotide ribosomal RNA is filed under the name uncultured bacterium. RNAcentral describes it as "bacterial SSU rRNA". It matches the Rfam family "Bacterial small subunit ribosomal RNA", at positions 173 to 863 of the family's 1533-position model. The record is from RNAcentral.
AGCUGUGAGUAUCGCAUGAUACAAGCAGAAAAGGAGCAAUCCGCUGAUAGAUGAGCUUGCGUCUGAUUAGUUAGUUGGCGAGGUAACGGCCCACCAAGACGAUGAUCAGUAGCCGGACUGAGAGGUUGAACGGCCACAUUGGGACUGAGAUACGGCCCAGACUCCUACGGGAGGCAGCAGUCGGGAAUAUUGCGCAAUGGAGGAAACUCUGACGCAGUGACGCCGCGUGCAGGAAGAAGGUUUUCGGAUUGUAAACUGCUUUAGACAGGGAAGAAAAAGGACAGUACCUGUAGAAUAAGUUCCGGCUAACUACGUGCCAGCAGCCGCGGUAAUACGUAGGGAGCAAGCGUUAUCCGGAUUUAUUGGGUGUAAAGGGUGCGUAGACGGGAAAUUAAGUUAGCUGUGAAAUCCCUCGGCUUAACUGAGGAACUGCAACUAAAACUGAUUUUCUUGAGUGCUGGAGAGGAAAGUGGAAUUCCUAGUGUAGCGGUGAAAUGCGUAGAUAUUAGGAGGAACACCAGUGGCGAAGGCGACUUUCUGGACAGUAACUGACGUUGAGGCACGAAAGUGUGGGGAGCAAACAGGAUUAGAUACCCUGGUAGUCCACACCGUAAACGAUGGAUACUAGGUGUAGGGGAUGAAUAAUCUUCUGUGCCGUCGCAAACGCAGUAA